This 645-nucleotide ribosomal RNA is filed under the name uncultured Planctomycetota bacterium. Its description in RNAcentral is "bacterial SSU rRNA". It matches the Rfam family "Bacterial small subunit ribosomal RNA", at positions 8 to 644 of the family's 1533-position model. The record is from RNAcentral. Lineage: Bacteria; Pseudomonadati; Planctomycetota.
AGAGUUUGAUCAUGGCUCAAAAUGAACGUUGGCGGCGUGGAUUACGCAUGCAAGUCGAGCGAGAACUUGUGACUGGAGGCUUCGGCCAAAGGGAUCAAGGGAAAGCGGCAGACGGGGUAGUAAUGCAUAUGUUACGUACCCUCGGCACCAGAAUAGCCACGGGAAACUGUGGGUAAUGCUGGAUAACCUCUCCGGAGCAAAUGGUGAGAUUCCGCCCGAGGAGCGGCUUACGCGAUACCAGCUUGUUGGUGAGGUAACGGCUCACCAAGGCUAAGACGUCUAGGGGGUGUGAGANCAUGGCCCCCACCACCGGAACUGAGACACUGUCCGGACACCUACGGGUGGCUGCAGUCGAGAAUCUUCCGCAAUGGGCGCAAGCCUGACGGAGCGACGCCGCGUGCGGGAUGAAGGCCCUUGGGUUGUAAACCGCUGUCAGAGGGGAUGAAAUUCCAUAGGGCUAUCCCUAUGGAUUGACAAAGCCUCAGAGGAAGCCCGGGCUAAGUACNUGCCAGCAGCCGCGGUAAUACGUACUGGGCGAACGUUAUUCUGAAUCACUGGGCUUAAAGGGUGCGUAGGCGGUUCCGAAAGUCAGAUGUGAAAUCCCCCAGCCUAACCGGGGAACUGCGUUUGAAACUGCCGGGCUUG